RNAcentral lists this small RNA (255 nucleotides) under Arabidopsis thaliana (thale cress). RNAcentral's name for it is "ATSL151730". Lineage: Eukaryota; Viridiplantae; Streptophyta; Magnoliopsida; Brassicales; Brassicaceae. The record is from RNAcentral.
AUAGUUUAAUUUGUCUCGGAAAAAUACUCAAAAGAAGUGUAGAUAGAGAUCAGAUUAGUUAUCUAUAUAUACAUUUUUGUAGACGUUUUUGAAGAUAAUGUUGAAGAUUUGAGCCAUAAUUCAACAAUUAAUUCAAAUGGGUGGGUAUAACCCGGUUUAACUCUGUUCGGAUCUUGGAUAACAUGUUUAAUUCUGUUCUGAUCUUGGAUAACAUUAAUUUUUGGAAAAGUUACCUAAAAACUAAUAAUUAAAAAC